GAAAUGCGAUAAUUAAUGUGAAUUGCAGAAUUCAGUGAAUCAUCGAGUCUUUGAACGCACAUUGCGCCCCCUGCUAUUCCGGGGGGCAUGCCUGUCCGAGCGUCAUUGCUGCCCUCAAGCACGGCUUGUGUGUUGGGCUUCCGUCCCUGGCAACGGGGACGGGCCCAAAAGGCAGUGGCGGCACCAUGUCUGGUCCUCGAGCGUAUGGGGCUUUGUCACCCGCUCCCGUAGGUCCAGCUGGCAGCUAGCCUCGCAACCAAUCUUUUUAACCAGGUUGACCUCGGAUCAGGUAGGGAUACCCGCUGAACUUAAGC
RNAcentral lists this unclassified non-coding RNA (314 nucleotides) under plant metagenome. RNAcentral describes it as "partial contains 5.8S ribosomal RNA, internal transcribed spacer 2, and large subunit ribosomal RNA". The stretch from base 1 to 105 matches the Rfam family "5.8S ribosomal RNA", at positions 50 to 154 of the family's 154-position model. The record is from RNAcentral.